RNAcentral lists this ribosomal RNA (476 nucleotides) under uncultured bacterium. RNAcentral's name for it is "partial 16S ribosomal RNA". It matches the Rfam family "Bacterial small subunit ribosomal RNA", at positions 28 to 506 of the family's 1533-position model. The record is from RNAcentral.
GAUUAACGCUGGCGGCGUGCAUAACACAUGCAAGUCGAACGAUGAAACUUAACUGAUUUCUUCGGAAUGAUUUUAAGUGGAUUAGUGGCGGACGGGUGAGUAACGCGUGAGUAACCUGCCUUGGAGAAGGGGAUAGCCUUUGGAAACGAAGAAUAAUACCCUAUGAUAUGAUUAUAUCUCAUGAUAUUCUCCUCAAAGAUUUAUCGCUCUAAGAUGGACUUGCGUCUGAUUAGUUAGUUGGUGAGUUAACAGCUCACCAAGGCAGCGAUCAGUAGCCGGCUUGAGAGAGGGUACGGACACAUUGGGACGGAGACACGGCCCAGACUCCGACGGGGGGCGGCAGUGGGGAAUUGUGAACAAUGGGGGAAAACCUGAGGCAGCGACGCCGCGUGAUUUAGAAGGCCUUCGGGUUGUAAAAAUCUUUUGAAGGGGAAGAAAAUGACAGUACCAUACAAAUAAGGACCGGCUAAUUACGG